CUCUGCCUUUGUACACACCGCCCGUCGCUACUACCGAUUGAAUGGCUUAGUGAGGUCUCCGGAUUGGCGGUGGGGAGCCGGCAACGGCACCCUAUUGCUGAGAAGCUGAUCAAACUUGGUCAUUUAGAGGAAGUAAAAGUCGUAACAAGGUUUCCGUAGGUGAACCUGCGGAAGGAUCAUUAACGAAUAACUUUGGUGUCUCAGGUUGUAGCUGGCUCCUCGGAGCAAUGUGCACGCCCGCCAUUUUUAUCUUUCCACCUGUGCACCGACUGUAGGUCUGGAUACCUCUCGCCGCAAGGCGGAUGCGAGGGUUGCUCGUAAAGGGCUCCCCUCGAACUUCCAGGCUCUACGUCUUUUUUACACACCCCAAUAGUAUGAUGCAGAAUGUAGUCAAUGGGCUUCACAGCCUAUAAAACACUAUACAACUUUCAGCAACGGAUCUCUUGGCUCUCGCAUCGAUGAAGAACGCAGCGAAAUGCGAUAAGUAAUGUGAAUUGCAGAAUUCAGUGAAUCAUCGAAUCUUUGAACGCACCUUGCGCUCCUUGGUAUUCCGAGGAGCAUGCCUGUUUGAGUGUCAUUAAAUUCUCAACCUCACCCGUUUUCUGAACGGGGUCGAGGCUUGGAUGUGGGGGUUUGUGCAGGCUGCCUUCACUGGCGGUCUGCUCCCCUGAAAUGCAUUAGCGAGGUUCAUGCUGAACUUCCGUCUAUUGGUGUGAUAAUUAUCUACGCCGUGGACGAGGAUCAGACUCGCUUCUAACCGUCCGCGAGGACAAUACCUUGACAAUUUGACCUCAAAUCAGGUAGGACUACCCGCUGAACUUAAGCAUAUCAAUAAGCGGAGGAAAAGAAACUAACAAGGAUUCCCCUAGUAACUGCGAGUGAAGCGGGAAAAGCUCAAAUUUAAAAUCUGGCGGUCUUUGGCCGUCCGAGUUGUAAUCUAGAGAAGUGUUACCCGCGUCGGACCGUGUACAAGUCUCCUGGAAUGGAGCGUCAUAGAGGGUGAGAAUCCCGUCUUUGACACGGACUACCGAGGCUUUGUGGUGCGCUCUCAAGAGUCGAGUGUGUG
Molecule: ribosomal RNA, 1066 nt
Filed under: Agaricaceae sp. 356
Lineage: Eukaryota; Fungi; Basidiomycota; Agaricomycetes; Agaricales; Agaricaceae
Description: eukaryotic LSU rRNA
Rfam family: Eukaryotic large subunit ribosomal RNA (bases 787-1066)
Source: RNAcentral